Molecule: transfer RNA, 78 nt
Filed under: Candidatus Bathyarchaeota archaeon
Lineage: Archaea; Thermoproteati; Candidatus Bathyarchaeota
Description: tRNA-Gly
Rfam family: tRNA
About the family: Transfer RNA (tRNA) molecules are approximately 80 nucleotides in length. Their secondary structure includes four short double-helical elements and three loops (D, anti-codon, and T loops).
Source: RNAcentral
GCGACCGUGGUCUAGUUUGGUCUAGGACAAAGGCCUUCCAAGCCUUUAACCCGGGUUCAAAUCUCGGCGGUCGCACCA